Molecule: transfer RNA, 63 nt
Filed under: Phallocryptus tserensodnomi
Lineage: Eukaryota; Metazoa; Arthropoda; Branchiopoda; Anostraca; Thamnocephalidae
Description: tRNA-Pro
Rfam family: tRNA
About the family: Transfer RNA (tRNA) molecules are approximately 80 nucleotides in length. Their secondary structure includes four short double-helical elements and three loops (D, anti-codon, and T loops).
Source: RNAcentral
CAAGAAAUAGUCUAAUGAGGAUAUUAACUUUGGAAGUUAAAGGUGUUGUUAAAAUUUUCUUGA